This 1477-nucleotide ribosomal RNA is filed under the name Microplana sp. 3 MAP-2016. RNAcentral describes it as "eukaryotic LSU rRNA". It matches the Rfam family "Eukaryotic large subunit ribosomal RNA", at positions 117 to 1382 of the family's 3401-position model. The record is from RNAcentral. Lineage: Eukaryota; Metazoa; Platyhelminthes; Tricladida; Geoplanidae.
UGAAUCCUGUANCUUUGGUAUUGGGAGUUGUAGUGUAAAGGUUGUGUCUUUAAUUGAGAAUCRCAUUCCAAAUUGACUUGAUUGUCAUGUUGUCCAGAGAGGGUGUUAGACCCGUUGGNAUGUGUGCUACUUUUAUUUGAUACUUCCUAUGAGUCGGAUUGUUUGAGAAUGCAGUCCAAAUUGGGUGGUAAACUUCAUCUAAGGCUAAAUACUUGUGCUAGUCCGAUAGAAAACAAGUACCGUGAGGGAAAGUUGAAAAGAACUUUGAAGAGAGAGUUAAAUAGUACGUGAAAUCGCUUAGAGGUAAACGAGUGGAGCCGAAAAUGUUGUGUAGGAUUCAGUUGUUUGCAAUUUGUCUUCUUAUAAAUAAUAUUCGUAAGAAAUUAUUCAUAAUCAGUUUUCAUUUUACAAACGAUGCACUUUCUACAUAACUAAGCUGCGAUCGAUAGCGUUGUUUUUCUGUCGUAUAAUUGAAGGUGACCAGUUUUUCGGAAUUGGUUUUAUAGCUUUAUACACGGUCAAUCAAUUUAUCGGUGUUAAUUGAGAUUAAUCAUUGUUGCUGGCUGCUAAUAUGAGUUGUUGGAUUGUAAACUUUUAAUAAGAUUGCUUUUCAAUCGAUUCACGUCAGUGUCGGUAAUCGGUUAUUCGAAAUCUGCAGUGUAUUAUGUAGGUUACCUACUCGUCCCGUCUUGAAACACGGACCAAGGAGUUUUAUAUGAUCGCAAGUCAAAGGGCUUUACGAAACCCCACCGCGUAAUUAAUGUAAAGGNUUGCGUUGGUAANCUGAAAUGUGAUCUNAAUCUCAGCUCAGCUCAUACUGUUCUGUUCUGUUGUUGGAGCAACAUUGACCUGUCUAAAGAAUCUCGAUUCUGGGCGGAGUUUGAGCGAUCAUGUAGAGACCCGAAAGAUGGUGAACUAUGCUUGUGCAGGUUGAAGCCAGAGGAAACUCUGGUGGAGGACCGAAGCGGUUCUGACGUGCAAAUCGAUCGUCGGACAUGRGUAUAGGGGCGAAAGACUAAUCGAACCAUCUAGUAGCUGGUUCCCUCCGAAGUUUCCCUCAGGAUAGCUGGCGUUUGAGUUGUAGUUUUACCUGGUAAAGCGAAUGAUUAGAAGUACUGGGGACGAAAUGUUUUCAACUUAUUCUCAAACUUUAAAUAGGUUCGAAGUGCCACUCGCUUCAUUGGAGUGGUACAUAGAAUACAAAUGCCUAGUGGGCCAUUUUUGGUAAGCAGAACUGGCGAUGUGGGAUGAACCAAACAUCUGGUUAAGGUGCCUAACACCACGCUCAUCAGAUACCACAAAAGGUGUUGGUUGAUAAAGACAGCAGGACGGUGGACAUGGAAGUCGUCAUCCGCUAAGGAGUGUGUAACAACUCACCUGCCGAAUCAACCAGCCCUGAAAAUGGAUGGCGCUGUAGCGUGGGACCUAUACCGGAUCAGUAUCGUAGUGUAUAACAUUANGGAAAACGGUACUGUGU